AAUUUUUUUUUUAAAAAAAAAAUUUAUAAAAAAGAAAAGUAGUUUAGAAUAGGUUAGUUUGAAACUAUUAACAUCUAUUAAUUUAAGUAGUUAUUCCCAUAAGCACAAACAAAAAUGUUAAACAUUUUGAAAUAACUCAAAGAAUAACCUAUGUUUAAGGAUUGAAUGUCAACAAACUUUUAAGCUAUUAUAUUAUUAAUGUUACGCCUACAAGCAACAUAACAGUUUGGAUCUUGAAGUUGCUUCAGCCUUAACUUUGCUGUAGCUUUUGUAAAAUUUUAAAUUAUGAAAAAAUUAAAAGAAAAAUACAAGUUUAAAGCUGCUAAUAGUUAAUAUCAUAACCCUGGAAAGAGCAUAAGUGAGGUUACAAGGAUCAAUGCUGCAAACAAAAAAUUUAAAUUGAUAGAAUACUUAAGCUAGAAUAUGCAAAAGCCCAUUACUCUAGAGUUUUUAACUUUUCAUCAUUAAAGUUUCAAUCAAACACCAAACCGGCUGCCUUCAUGACAAAUAAGACCAUACAGUAAUGAUAUUACUUUGAUCUACACAACCUAAGAGUAAAUAUCAUCAACCAUAACUCAAAUUUCAACAUUUUUCCCCUCCAAACCUAGCAACGCAUACAGCUGAGAACUUGACACUAAUUAAUCAAAAACCAAAUGCAAAUAGCACAA
Molecule: unclassified non-coding RNA, 668 nt
Filed under: Hevea brasiliensis (rubber tree)
Lineage: Eukaryota; Viridiplantae; Streptophyta; Magnoliopsida; Malpighiales; Euphorbiaceae
Source: RNAcentral